AAAACCAUACUCUCUGGGAUCGUUUCUGUGCACUUUGUUACCAGAGAAGUUUCUCUGGGCGUACAGAGUGCAGGAGACCUCGAGGAGGAGGCGGGGCAUUCCCCCUGGAGUGCGAGGCUGGCUCCGGAGGCGCUUCUGCAGCUGACAUUGGCAUUGAUAACCAGCCGUUCGUUCCUCUCCUCCUUUGGGAGAGGAAGAGGGAGGAGAUGCCGCGAGGG
Small nucleolar RNA from Artibeus jamaicensis (Jamaican fruit-eating bat), 218 nucleotides. RefSeq annotates it as small nucleolar RNA U3. Lineage: Eukaryota; Metazoa; Chordata; Mammalia; Chiroptera; Phyllostomidae. The transcript has a single exon. The record is from RefSeq and is a predicted model, not a curated record.